This is a non-coding RNA of Coturnix japonica (Japanese quail), 1208 nucleotides long. Lineage: Eukaryota; Metazoa; Chordata; Aves; Galliformes; Phasianidae. The record is from RefSeq and is a predicted model, not a curated record.
GGUAGCACUCAGGAGUGAGAUAGAUAGAACUUCACUGUCGUUUAUUAUCAAGUUGAGAAAUAAAGGAGCUUUUCCACUCUCCCAGCAUUGCUAAGAUAUCCACAGAUGUCCACCCUGCCCUAAUCAGGCAGAAGCUGGUAACACUUGCUCCUAAUGAUGGGCAUUGCCUAGUUUAGAUCAUGGUCCAAGAAAAAGUGAGCCCCUGAGGUCCUCCCAAGUGCCUGUCCUCUCUCUGCCCUUAGAACUGGGUUCUGCUUGGAAAGCACCAAAAGGAAAUGUCAUUUCCUCCUCCUGCUGGGGCUGUUCUGGUCAGAGCAGAGGCCGGUCCCCUUCCAAUGGGGUUAGCACCACAACACACUGCAUUCUGCAGGAUGUCCUACACCAGCUGUGACAGGUGAUUCAGCUUCCCCAGCAUUCUCCCACCUGCAUUAUAUUUGACUGUCAGAGGCAAUUACUGACAGAUAGCUUUAUGCUGGAUUAUUUUAGUUCUGACAAAAGGAGGGAUCUAUUUAUUAGUCUGCAGGUGAGGUUCCUGGUUUCAGAGGGCAAAUAAGCCAAGUGGGCUAAGAUGACUGCCCUGAGCAGCUCAGAGACAUAAGUGAGAAAGCAGUGGGAAGACACUGAAAUCCAAUAUGCAAUAGAGUCUGCAGUGGGCUCCCAAGGCCUGGGGCAGCAUUAUAGCACCUGUGAUUCUACAGGAGGAUAAGGGAAAGGGGAUCCGCCUUUCUGCAGACUGAGCAGAGCGCAUUGGACAGGUUCCCACUGAAGGUGAUGCCCAGAGAUGUGUUUCAAAUGCAUCGUAAAGAAUUUUAAUGUCUCAAAAUGAAAAAAAUCUCCAAAGCUUCUUUCUUCUUCCCUCAAAUUAUUAGGAAAUAAUUCCCAGAAUUCAAGAUCUUCCCUUCCUCAGGAGCCCAAGGAAGUUUUUGUUUCACUACUCAGGACCUUCACUUCUCAAUUUCAAGUUUAAUAUGCUGAUUUGUGUUUCAAAUCAAGACCAAGAUGUUUUUGUCUUGCUUCAGAGUGUUAAUUUCAAAUGGAAUUUCUCAUUCCAAAGAUACCAAGUUUAAUAAAUUAACAUCGCCUUUUGGGAAAAUGGAUACCCUUUGUACCAGCAUCUGGCCCACAAGGAGGUCAGUCAGUUACUCUAUUUCAAUUGCCCCUUGGUCCUGGUAGCUGAUAUUUGUCAAGACAAAAAUACCAAUAAGCCU